GAUACCCUAUUAUUUUAAAAGUAAUUAAAUAAAUCUAAUUAGUAAUAGUUAAGUUCUUGAAAAUUAAAGAAUUUGGCGGUAUUUUAGUCUAUUCAGAGGAAUCUGUCCUAUAAUUGAUAAUCCACGAUUUUUCAUACCUGAUUUAUUAAUUUACAUAUCGCCGUAGUUUGAAUAUUUUUUGAAAAUUAUAAUAUUCAUAAUUUAUUUUUAUAAAAAAAAUCAGGUCAAGGUGUAGUAUAUAGUUAGGAAGAGAUGGGUUACAAUAAAUUUAUUUAUUAUGGAUUAAAAAAUUAAAUUUUUUUAUGAAGGUGGAUUUGAAAGUAAUUUUAUUUA
RNAcentral lists this ribosomal RNA (333 nucleotides) under Laparocerus inflatus. Its description in RNAcentral is "partial 12S ribosomal RNA". The record is from RNAcentral. Lineage: Eukaryota; Metazoa; Arthropoda; Insecta; Coleoptera; Curculionidae.